Non-coding RNA from Myodes glareolus (Bank vole), 405 nucleotides. NCBI's taxonomy places the organism in Eukaryota, Metazoa, Chordata, Mammalia, Rodentia, Cricetidae. The record is from RefSeq and is a predicted model, not a curated record.
UGUUGUUUUUUUCUAGUUUCUUCUCUUGGCAAUUUUGCAAGUUUCUUCUUUUCUUAUGCUGUAAUGGUAGCAGUGCAAUGCUCCAAUCAUAAAAUUAAUUGAAAAAUGCUCUCUUUAGUUUUAUGGAAGAUUUUAUUUUAAAGAUUUACUUUAUUUUGUUGUAUCCAACCUGGAAUUUUUUACAUGUUAGAUAUCUGGCUGGACAUCAGAAAUUGCUUUUGAUGGCUUAGAGCCUCCUCCUUGAGACCUCAGCUCUCAAUUUGGUUGUUUCCGGCCAUCUAGUUCUCUUGGGUCACAGCCCACCAUCAAAGGACAUCAAGGCAGGAACCAGGAGGCAGGAGGAAGAAACUAUGGAGGAAGAUGCUUACUGGUUUUCUCUUCAUAAGCUUUCUCAGUAUGUUUUUA